RNAcentral lists this ribosomal RNA (500 nucleotides) under uncultured bacterium. Its description in RNAcentral is "partial 16S ribosomal RNA". It matches the Rfam family "Bacterial small subunit ribosomal RNA", at positions 30 to 523 of the family's 1533-position model. The record is from RNAcentral.
AUUGAACGCUGGCGGCAUGCCUUACACAUGCAAGUCGAACGGCAGCACGGACUUCGGUCUGGUGGCGAGUGGCGAACGGGUGAGUAAUGUAUCGGAACGUACCCUUCAGUGGGGGAUAACUAUCCGAAAGGAUAGCUAAUACCGCAUAUUCUCUGAGGCGGAAAGCGGGGGCUCGCAAGACCUAGCGCUGAUGGAGCGGCCGAUAUCAGAUUAGCUAGUUGGUGGGGUAAAGGCCAAACAAGGCGACGAUCUGUAGCGGGUCUGAGAGGAUGAUCCGCCACACUGGGACUGAGACACGGCCCAGACUCCUACGGGAGGCAGCAGUGGGGAAUUUUGGACAAUGGGGGCAACCCUGAUCCAGCCAUGCCGCGUGAGUGAAGAAGGCCUUCGGGUUGUAAAGCUCUUUCGGCCGGGAAGAAAUCGCGUGAGUUAAUACCUUGCGUGGAUGACGGUACCGGAAUAAGAAGCACCGGCUAACUACGUGCCAGCAGCCGCCGUAA